RNAcentral lists this ribosomal RNA (253 nucleotides) under uncultured bacterium. RNAcentral's name for it is "partial 16S ribosomal RNA". It matches the Rfam family "Bacterial small subunit ribosomal RNA", at positions 524 to 776 of the family's 1533-position model. The record is from RNAcentral.
UACGAAGGGGGCUAGCGUUGUUCGGAAUUACUGGGCGUAAAGGGCGUGUAGGCGGUCCGCUAAGACAGGUGUGAAAUUCCUGGGCUCAACCCAGGACGUGCGCCUGUGACUGACGGACUUGAGUCCGGGAGAGGAUGGUGGAACUCCCAGUGUAGAGGUGAAAUGCGCAGAUAUCAGGAAGAACACCCGUGGCGAAAGCGGCUCUCUGGAACGGUACUGACGCUGAGACGCGAAAGCGUGGGGAGCGAACAGG